ACUCUAGUCUGGCAAGGUAAAGAGACUUGAGAGGUGUAGAAUAAGUGGGAGGCCCCUGGUAAGCCACGCCCCCCGCAUUCUGUGAGAGGGGUCAGUGUGUCGUGUCCCCACAUCCCGUGUGUCCCUCCCCCCAAACCAUUCCCACAGGCUGCCGGUAAAAUACUGCUGCUCUGGUCAUUUUUUCACUGACCCAGUAAGGCAGGGGUGGGGUGGCAAUCCCUGAGGGGCUCUUGCUUCUGGGGCCAAAUGCCUGCUGGUGUGUGGACAGUGCCAGGUAGGGAGU
Molecule: non-coding RNA, 283 nt
Filed under: Mesocricetus auratus (golden hamster)
Lineage: Eukaryota; Metazoa; Chordata; Mammalia; Rodentia; Cricetidae
Description: Eukaryotic large subunit ribosomal RNA
Rfam family: Eukaryotic large subunit ribosomal RNA
Source: Rfam by way of RNAcentral